AUAGCGUAUAUUAAAGUUGCUGCAGUUAAAAAGCUCGUAGUUGGAUCUCGGUAUCACUGUUUCCUGCCAUACCUCGAUCAGUUGGGCUAGCGCUGCAUGGGUUCCGCUCGUGUUGUCCUAGUUCGGUUGCUUUGAGUUGGCGUGGUAGCGGUGUCACCUUUCAGCCAUGUCUGUGGUGAAAUACCCACAGGUGUAGGCGAGUGUCAGGCGGUGCUUUGCUUCACGUAAGGUCCGUCGGCUCGUUUGCAUGCCUUUGGAUGCCCUUCAAAAGGUGUCUGUGGGCGGAUGGCACGUUUACUUUGAACAAAUUUGAGUGCUCAAACCAGGCCGAUGUUGCCUGAAAAGUUUUGCAUGGAAUAAUGGAAUAGGACUUCGGUUCUAUUUUGUUGGUUUUCGGAUCCGAAGUAAUGAUCAAAAGAGACAGGCGGGGACGUUUGUAUGGUUGCGCUAGAGGUGAAAUUCAUGGACCGUAAUCAGACAAACUAAAGCGAAAGCAUUCGUCAAGCAUGUUUUCAUUGACCAUGAGCGAAAGUCAGAGGCUCGAAGACGAUCAGAUACCGUCCUAGUUCUGACCAUAAACGAUGCCAACUGACGAUCCGUGGUGGUAGUUUAUAACAUUCCCCACGGGCAGUCCCCGGGAAACCUUUAAGUCUUUGGGUUCCGGGGGAAGUAUGGUUGCAAAGCUGAAACUUAAAGGAAUUGACGGAAGGCACCACCAGGAGUGGAGCCUGCGGCUUAAUUUGACUCAACACGGGAAAACUCACCCGGCCCGGACACUGUGAGGAUUGACAGAUUGACAGCUCUUUCUUGAUUUGGUGGUUGGGUGGUGCAUGGCCGUUCUUAGUUGGUGGAGCGAUUUGUCUAGGUUAAUUCCCGAAUAACGAACGAAACUCUAUCCUGCUAAUUUAGUGCAUCUGUCCACUGUCCUGUGCAA
This 934-nucleotide ribosomal RNA is filed under the name Trypanorhyncha sp. TY. Its description in RNAcentral is "bacterial SSU rRNA". It matches the Rfam family "Eukaryotic small subunit ribosomal RNA", at positions 594 to 1384 of the family's 1831-position model. Lineage: Eukaryota; Metazoa; Platyhelminthes; Cestoda; Trypanorhyncha. The record is from RNAcentral.